UACGGAGGAUGCGAGCGUUAUCCGGAUUUAUUGGGUUUAAAGGGUGCGUAGGCGGGAUGCCAAGUCAGCGGUCAAAUACGGGGGCUCAACCCCUUCCCGCCAUUGAAACUGGCGGCCUCGAGUGGGCGAGAAGUAUGCGGAAUGCGUGGUGUAGCGGUGAAAUGCAUAGAUAUCACGCAGAACUCCGAUUGCGAAGGCAGCAUACCGGCGCCCGACUGACGCUGAGGCACGAAAGCGUGGGUAUCGAACAGG
Molecule: ribosomal RNA, 252 nt
Filed under: uncultured Bacteroidales bacterium
Lineage: Bacteria; Pseudomonadati; Bacteroidota; Bacteroidia; Bacteroidales
Description: partial 16S ribosomal RNA
Rfam family: Bacterial small subunit ribosomal RNA
Source: RNAcentral